Molecule: long non-coding RNA, 208 nt
Filed under: Apteryx rowi (Okarito brown kiwi)
Lineage: Eukaryota; Metazoa; Chordata; Aves; Apterygiformes; Apterygidae
Description: lncRNA (ENSARWG00000010708.1)
Source: RNAcentral
AUGGCAAACGCGGUAGUCUCAGACACCUCAAGUGACAGCAGAGUCUGGUGUGGAAGGUUUCUCCUGGAUGUCCUAGCAAGAAACAGCUGGAUUUUGGAUUCAGUGAAAGCUAUGGAGCCCACUCCCAAACAGCUGAGUAGCAAUGCAAGUGCUGUAGCUCAUCAAGGCAGGGAUCAACGCCGCGCCGGGCGCUGGCCCGUAUAGAAGA